Molecule: long non-coding RNA, 669 nt
Organism: Nothobranchius furzeri (turquoise killifish)
Lineage: Eukaryota; Metazoa; Chordata; Actinopteri; Cyprinodontiformes; Nothobranchiidae
Source: RefSeq, a predicted model, not a curated record
CGCGCCGACGCCGCCUCACAUCCAGGUUUACAGGUUGAAGCCAGUCCUGAUCCCGGAGUGUCCCACUGGGAAAUCUAGAGACAAGCAGGGACACACGGGGACCGUCCAGUCACAAAUUCACACACCUAAGGACAAGAGUCUUCAGUUAACGUAACAGGCAUGUUGAACCGAAGUACCCAGAGGAAACCCAUGCAACAGUGCCACCAUGCAGCUCCAGUCUCUUCAUAUUGAAAUAAUAAAUGUGUGCUGUGUGAUGAGACAAAGUGCACCUCAGCUUCAUCAGGUUGACUGAUGGCUGGCAGUGGUCCGACCCACACACAGCUACAGGCAGUUCAAACUCCCUAAACAAGAUGGAUUUGGAAUCACGCAGCACCUCCUGCUGUUUGACAAAUAACAUCUGACCUGUUCAGACGGACUGCAGCGAGUUUUCUGCUAAGCUUUUAUACGGAUAAGUGCUUGUUUUAAAUGGUGUAACUGUGAACAAACCUCUUUUGGUGUUCCUUUGUGAGGCAUUCUGUUUUCCUGUUUAUAGCUUUUUAGAAAUAAUUCAACAUGUCUUUAUUUUUCCAAAGUCUGAAAUGGAUUCACUUGCUCGGGUGCACUACACCGAUUGUUUUCUUUAUGUCCUUUUUGUCUUGUUAUUCUUGUCAAAAUAAAAUUCAGGCCCUG